This 365-nucleotide ribosomal RNA is filed under the name uncultured bacterium. Its description in RNAcentral is "bacterial SSU rRNA". It matches the Rfam family "Bacterial small subunit ribosomal RNA", at positions 282 to 659 of the family's 1533-position model. The record is from RNAcentral.
GGUAGCCGGCCUGAGAGGGCGACCGGCCACACUGGGACUGARACACGGNCCANACUCCUACNRGAGGCAGCAGUGGGGAAUAUUGCGCAAUGGGCGAAAGCCUGACGCAGCAACGCCGCGUGAGGGAUGACGGCCUUCGGGUUGUAAACCUCUUUCAGCAGGGACGAAGCGAAAGUGACUGUACCUGCAGAAGAAGCGCCGGCUAACUACGUGCCAGCAGCCGCGGUAAUACGUAGGGCGCAAGCGUUGUCCGGAUUUAUUGGGCGUAAAGAGUUCGUAGGCGGUCUGUCGCGUCGGAAGUGAAAACCCGGAGCUCAACUCCGGGCCUGCUUUCGAUACGGGCAGACUUGAGUGUUGCAGGGGAG